ACUAAAAAAGACGGAUGAGAUAAAAUUUUCAUUGAAGAAAGCAUUUCGUGGACAUCACUCGGUGUGUUCGAUAAGGUUUCUCAAGCUCUCUACAACGCCGGCCUCGGCCAACUGUCUCUAGUUCAAGUGCCAAGUUCAGUCUUAACCCUAAUUUUUUCUUUCAUUCCUCAAUUUUCUCCAUCCGAGCAAUGAAAAAUUGAACUAUGUUUUCAGAUUAUUGAUCCCAAUUUGUGAAAUCGCUUCAAAGUUUGAAUUUUAUUAUGUGUUUUUUGGAUUUUAGGCUGCUAGCAUACGGGCUAUACUUUCAGGGAAGGAUUGUUGCAGCUGAAACUGAAUCACCACGUUCAGGGAUGGAUGUUGUUUUGAUUAGGGAUUCCCCUCAUUGGGUUUUCAUUUCAGUUCGGAUUUACAGUAAAUGCAAAUCCGGUUCCUAAAGCUCAAAGAGAAGGUCUGCAAAGGUUCAUAUGUAAUCCCUCCUAUCUGUAAUGGAAGUUUGUAAGGUUUAUGCUUCGGUUUAUAUCGAUGGAAAUAAAGUUGUUGCGAUGAAGACCUCCCUCACUCUCUGAAGCCCAGAACGGAGUGAAACGGUAUUGGAUUGAUUUUAGCGAGUGGGUUUUUUUGUUAACGUGGAUCAGAUUCGAACCUUUGUGUCGAUCGAAGUCAUUGCUGGUGGGUUAGCUGAGGACCUUGAGGGAGGGUGAUCCAAUUUUCAGAGAAGAACUAAGUUUUUCUCAGAGAGGACGAAUUCUGCAGCUUUUUUAUUUCAAAGACGAUUCCAGCCCCAUUGGAAUACAAAAAGUUUUCAACAGGAGUUCAACAUAUCAAGUAUGGAGAGAAAUGAUAGGAGCAAUAUAGCAUAGGUUGUCAUCUUCUUAAAUAAAUUGUUCUCAGUGUUAGGAUGUCUUUUUCCUCCGUUUGGGGUUUUAUCCUACUUGGUACGAACAAUGCUUCAUUUCUAUAAACUAUUCUCCCUCAACUUCUGUAAA
Molecule: non-coding RNA, 986 nt
Organism: Malus domestica (apple)
Lineage: Eukaryota; Viridiplantae; Streptophyta; Magnoliopsida; Rosales; Rosaceae
Source: RefSeq, a predicted model, not a curated record